RNAcentral lists this ribosomal RNA (431 nucleotides) under uncultured bacterium. Its description in RNAcentral is "partial 16S ribosomal RNA". It matches the Rfam family "Bacterial small subunit ribosomal RNA", at positions 29 to 507 of the family's 1533-position model. The record is from RNAcentral.
AACGAACGCUGGCGGCAGGCUUAACACAUGCAAGUCGAGCGCCCCGCCAGGGGAGCGGCAGCCGGGUGAGUAACGCGUGGGAACAUACCUUUUGGUUCGGAACAACUCCGGGAAACUGGAGCUAAUACCGGAUAAGCCCUCACGUGGAAAGGUUUAUCGCCGAACGCUUGGCCCGCUUCUGAUUAGCUAGUUGGUGGGGUAACGGCUCACCAUGGCGACGAUCAGUAGCUGGUCUGAGAGGAUGAUCAGCCACACUGGGACUGAGACACGGCCCAGACUCCUACGGGAGGCAGCAGUGGGGAAUAUAGGACAAUGGGCGCAAGCCUGAUCCAGCCAUGCCGCGUGAGUGAUGAAGGCCUUAGGGUUGUAAAGCUCUUUUGUCCGGGAAGAUAAUGACGGUACCGGAAGAAUAAGCCCCGGCUAACUUCGUG